GUGCUCGCUUUGGCAGCACGCACUCCAAAACUGGAACGAUGCAGAGAAGAUUAGCAUGGCCCCUGUGCAGGGGUGGUACCCACAU
Small nuclear RNA from Mustela putorius furo (domestic ferret), 85 nucleotides. The record is from Ensembl. NCBI's taxonomy places the organism in Eukaryota, Metazoa, Chordata, Mammalia, Carnivora, Mustelidae.